AUGUACAGUGGUGUGAUAAUUUCUGCGGUACAACAAAGUGACUCAGUUAUACGUGUCCACGCAUCCAUUCUUUUUCAGGUUCUUCUCCCAUGUAGACGCUCACAGAAUAUCGGGUGGAGUUCUCCGUGCUGCGCCAAGGUUAAUGGAAUGACUGGCCAGCAGGGAUCAGAGAAGGCCAUCCAAAGCAGAGCUCCGGAGAUAAACAAGGAAUACUUUAGUGGGCUUCUUUAGUGCGGUAUUUCAUGUGUCGCAAUAGCCAAGACAUGGAAACAACCUAAAUGUCCAUUGAGACAUGACUGGAUUAAGACGAUGUGGUAUAUAUACAAAAUGGAAUACUACUCAGCCAUAAAAAAGAACAAAAGAUUGCCAUUUGCAGCAACAUGGAUGGAACUAGAGACUCUCAUACCAAGUGAAGUAAGUCAGAAAGACAACGACAAAUACCAUAUGAUAUCACUUAUAUCUGGAAUCUAAUGUAUGGCACAAAUGAACCUUUCCACAGAAAGGAAACUCUUGGACUUGGAGAGCACACUUGUGGUUGCCAAGGGGGAGGGAGUGGGAGUGGGAUGGACUGGGAAUUUGGGGUUAAUGGAUGCAUACUAUUGCCUUUGGAGUGGAUAAGCAAUGAGAUCCUGCUGUAUAGCACU
RNAcentral lists this long non-coding RNA (644 nucleotides) under Sus scrofa (pig). RNAcentral describes it as "lncRNA (ENSSSCG00015035099.1)". The record is from RNAcentral. Lineage: Eukaryota; Metazoa; Chordata; Mammalia; Artiodactyla; Suidae.